This 961-nucleotide ribosomal RNA is filed under the name Burkholderia sp. EG3. Its description in RNAcentral is "bacterial SSU rRNA". It matches the Rfam family "Bacterial small subunit ribosomal RNA", at positions 28 to 985 of the family's 1533-position model. Lineage: Bacteria; Pseudomonadati; Pseudomonadota; Betaproteobacteria; Burkholderiales; Burkholderiaceae. The record is from RNAcentral.
AUUGAACGCUGGCGGCAUGCCUUACACAUGCMAGUCGGACGGCAGCGCGGGGGCAACCCUGGCGGCGAGUGGCGAACGGGUGAGUAAUACAUCGGAACGUGUCCUGGAGUGGGGGAUAGCCCGGCGAAAGCCGGAUUAAUACCGCAUACGCUCUGUGGAGGAAAGCGGGGGAUCUUCGGACCUCGCGCUCAAGGGGCGGCCGAUGGCAGAUUAGCUAGUUGGUGGGGUAAAGGCCUACCAAGGCGACGAUCUGUAGCUGGUCUGAGAGGACGACCAGCCACACUGGGACUGAGACACGGCCCAGACUCCUACGGGAGGCAGCAGUGGGGAAUUUUGGACAAUGGGGGCAACCCUGAUCCAGCAAUGCCGCGUGUGUGAAGAAGGCCUUCGGGUUGUAAAGCACUUUUGUCCGGAAAGAAAACCGCUUCUCUAAUACAGGGGCGGGAUGACGGUACCGGAAGAAUAAGCACCGGCUAACUACGUGCCAGCAGCCGCGGUAAUACGUAGGGUGCAAGCGUUAAUCGGAAUUACUGGGCGUAAAGCGUGCGCAGGCGGUUCGCUAAGACCGAUGUGAAAUCCCCGGGCUUAACCUGGGAACUGCAUUGGUGACUGGCGGGCUAGAGUAUGGCAGAGGGGGGUAGAAUUCCACGUGUAGCAGUGAAAUGCGUAGAGAUGUGGAGGAAUACCGAUGGCGAAGGCAGCCCCCUGGGCCAAUACUGACGCUCAUGCACGAAAGCGUGGGGAGCAAACAGGAUUAGAUACCCUGGUAGUCCACGCCCUAAACGAUGUCAACUAGUUGUCGGGUCUUCAUUGACUUGGUAACGAAGCUAACGCGUGAAGUUGACCGCCUGGGGAGUACGGUCGCAAGAUUAAAACUCAAAGGAAUUGACGGGGACCCGCACAAGCGGUGGAUGAUGUGGAUUAAUUCGAUGCAACGCGAAAAACCUUACCUACCCUUGAC